Molecule: ribosomal RNA, 1333 nt
Filed under: Chryseobacterium arthrosphaerae
Lineage: Bacteria; Pseudomonadati; Bacteroidota; Flavobacteriia; Flavobacteriales; Weeksellaceae
Description: bacterial SSU rRNA
Source: RNAcentral
CGCCCCCCCGCYCUAGAAGUUUUGGAUCCUGGCUCAGGAUGAACGCUAGCGGGAGGCCUAACACAUGCAAGCCGAGCGGUAGAGAUCUUUCGGGGAUCUUGAGAGCGGCGUACGGGUGCGGAACACGUGUGCAAUCCUGCCUUUAUCGUGGGGGAUAGCCUUUCGAAAGGAAGAUUAAUACCCCAUAAUAUAUUGAGUGGCAUCACUUAAUAUUGAAAACUCCGGUGGAUAGAGAUGGGCACGCGCAAGAUUAGAUAGUUGGUGAGGUAACGGCUCACCAAGUCAACGAUCUUUAGGGGGCCUGAGAGGGUGAUCCCCCACACUGGUACUGAGACACGGACCAGACUCCUACGGGAGGCAGCAGUGAGGAAUAUUGGACAAUGGGUGAGAGCCUGAUCCAGCCAUCCCGCGUGAAGGACGACGGCCCUAUGGGUUGUAAACUUCUUUUGUAUAGGGAUAAACCUACCCUCGUGAGGGUAGCUGAAGGUACUAUACGAAUAAGCACCGGCUAACUCCGUGCCAGCAGCCGCGGUAAUACGGAGGGUGCAAGCGUUAUCCGGAUUUAUUGGGUUUAAAGGGUCCGUAGGCGGAUUUGUAAGUCAGUGGUGAAAUCUCACAGCUUAACUGUGAAACUGCCAUUGAUACUGCAAGUCUUGAGUGUUGUUGAAGUAGCUGGAAUAAGUAGUGUAGCGGUGAAAUGCAUAGAUAUUACUUAGAACACCAAUUGCGAAGGCAGGUUACUAAGCAACAACUGACGCUGAUGGACGAAAGCGUGGGGAGCGAACAGGAUUAGAUACCCUGGUAGUCCACGCCGUAAACGAUGCUAACUCGUUUUUGGUAUUUCGGUAUCAGAGACUAAGCGAAAGUGAUAAGUUAGCCACCUGGGGAGUACGAACGCAAGUUUGAAACUCAAAGGAAUUGACGGGGGCCCGCACAAGCGGUGGAUUAUGUGGUUUAAUUCGAUGAUACGCGAGGAACCUUACCAAGGCUUAAAUGGGAAAUGACAGGCUUAGAAAUAGGCUAUUCUUCGGACAUUUUUCAAGGUGCUGCAUGGUUGUCGUCAGCUCGUGCCGUGAGGUGUUAGGUUAAGUCCUGCAACGAGCGCAACCCCUGUCACUAGUUGCCAUCAUUAAGUUGGGGACUCUAGUGAGACUGCCUACGCAAGUAGAGAGGAAGGUGGGGAUGACGUCAAAUCAUCACGGCCCUUACGCCUUGGGCCACACACGUAAUACAAUGGCCGGUACAGAGGGCAGCUACACUGCGAAGUGAUGCAAAUCUCGAAAGCCGGUCUCAGUUCGGAUUGGAGUCUGCAACUCGACUUAUGAAGCUGGAA